AGGUCAGUAGCUUAAGUGGAAGAGCAGCGGUCUCCAAAAUCGCAGGUUGUGGGUUCAAGUCCCUCCUGGCCUG
This 73-nucleotide transfer RNA is filed under the name Candidatus Portiera aleyrodidarum (primary endosymbiont of Bemisia tabaci). RNAcentral describes it as "tRNA-Trp (CCA) (tRNA-Trp-CCA-1-1)". It matches the Rfam family "tRNA". Rfam says of the family: Transfer RNA (tRNA) molecules are approximately 80 nucleotides in length. The record is from RNAcentral. Lineage: Bacteria; Pseudomonadati; Pseudomonadota; Gammaproteobacteria; Johnevansiales (SeqCode); Johnevansiaceae (SeqCode).